GUGAAUCAUCGAAUUUUUGAACGCAAAUGGCACUCCCUGGUAUUCCGGGGAGUAUGCCUGUUUGAGGGUCGUUAGAAUAAAAAAUCGAUGCUUCGCUCUUUUUUUAACGGUGGAUGCUUCUUAAUUUAGCCGUCAUCUAAAAUAUAAUUUAUAAUAAAGUGGCUUUUAAUUCAUUUAUCCGGUACGAAUGUA
This 192-nucleotide unclassified non-coding RNA is filed under the name Glomeraceae sp. Its description in RNAcentral is "partial contains 5.8S ribosomal RNA and internal transcribed spacer 2". The stretch from base 1 to 71 matches the Rfam family "5.8S ribosomal RNA", at positions 84 to 154 of the family's 154-position model. Lineage: Eukaryota; Fungi; Glomeromycota; Glomeromycetes; Glomerales; Glomeraceae. The record is from RNAcentral.